This 468-nucleotide ribosomal RNA is filed under the name uncultured bacterium. RNAcentral describes it as "partial 16S ribosomal RNA". It matches the Rfam family "Bacterial small subunit ribosomal RNA", at positions 28 to 507 of the family's 1533-position model. The record is from RNAcentral.
GACGAACGCUGGCGGCGUGCUUAACACAUGCAAGUCGAACGGAAAGGCCCUGCUUUUGUGGGGUGCUCGAGUGGCGAACGGGUGAGUGACACGUGAGUAACCUGCCCUUGACUUUGGGAUAACUUCAGGAAACUGGGGCUAAUACCGGAUAGGAGCUCCCGCUGCAUGGUGGGGGUUGGAAAGUUUCGGCGGUUGGGGAUGGACUCGCGGCUUAUCAGCUUGUUGGUGGGGUAGUGGCUUACCAAGGCUUUGACGGGUAGCCGGCCUGAGAGGGUGACCGGCCACAUUGGGACUGAGAUACGGCCCAGACUCCUACGGGAGGCAGCAGUGGGGAAUAUUGCACAAUGGGCGGAAGCCUGAUGCAGCAACGCCGCGUGCGGGAUGACGGCCUUCGGGUUGUAAACCGCUUUCGCCUGUGACGAAGCGUGAGUGACGGUAAUGGGUAAAGAAGCACCGGCUAACUACGUG